GGCGCAUGGGACUCGGCCUGCGCGCGGCAGCUGCUCCGCAGCCAUGUGAUGGCGCUGGGCGCAGCAGCGGUUCACUGCAAGGUAAUGACAUGAGAAUCAGAGGACAGGGAUUGGAUAUGUGCAGAAGUGACACUUUGUU
RNAcentral lists this long non-coding RNA (139 nucleotides) under Ictidomys tridecemlineatus (thirteen-lined ground squirrel). RNAcentral describes it as "lncRNA (ENSSTOG00000034544.1)". Lineage: Eukaryota; Metazoa; Chordata; Mammalia; Rodentia; Sciuridae. The record is from RNAcentral.